CGUAGUUGAUCCUGGCUCAGAGUGAACGCUGGCGGCAGGCCUAAUACAUGCAAGUCGAACGGCAGCACAGCAGAGCUUGCUCUGUGGGUGGCGAGUGGCGGACGGGUGAGGAAUACGUGGGAAUCUGCCCAGUCGUGGGGGAUAACGUAGGGAAACUUACGCUAAUACCGCAUGCGCCCUUCGGGGGAAAGCCGGGGACCUUCGGGCCUGGCGCGAUUGGAUGAGCCCACGUCGGAUUAGCUAGUUGGCGGGGUAAAGGCCCACCAAGGCGACGAUCCGUAGCUGGUCUGAGAGGAUGAUCAGCCACACUGGAACUGAGACACGGUCCAGACUCCUACGGGAGGCAGCAGUAGGGAAUACUGGACAAUGGGCGCAAGCCUGAUCCAGCCAUGCCGCGUGAGUGAAGAAGGCCCUCGGGUUGUAAAGCUCUUUUGUCCGGAAAGAAAAGCGCCGGGUUAAUACCCUGGUGUCCUGACGGUACCGGAAGAAUAAGCACCGGCUAACUUCGUG
Molecule: ribosomal RNA, 510 nt
Filed under: uncultured bacterium
Lineage: Bacteria
Description: bacterial SSU rRNA
Rfam family: Bacterial small subunit ribosomal RNA
Source: RNAcentral